Molecule: ribosomal RNA, 501 nt
Filed under: uncultured bacterium
Lineage: Bacteria
Description: partial 16S ribosomal RNA
Rfam family: Bacterial small subunit ribosomal RNA
Source: RNAcentral
AUUGAACGCUGGCGGCAGGCUUAACACAUGCAAGUCGAGCGGGGGAAGGUAGCUUGCUACCGGACCUAGCGGCGGACGGGUGAGUAAUGCUUAGGAAUCUGCCUAUUAGUGGGGGACAACAUCUCGAAAGGGAUGCUAAUACCGCAUACGUCCUACGGGAGAAAGCAGGGGAUCUUCGGACCUUGCGCUAAUAGAUGAGCCUAAGUCGGAUUAGCUAGUUGGUGGGGUAAGGGCCUACCAAGGCGACGAUCUGUAGCGGGUCUGGGAGGGUGAUCCGCCACACUGGGACUGAUACACGGCCCAGACUCCUACGGGAGGCAGCAGUGGGGAAUAUUGGACAAUGGGGGGAACCCUGAUCCAGCCAUGCCGCGUGUGUGAAGAAGGCCUUAUGGUUGUAAAGCACUUUAAGCGAGGAGGAGGCUACUUUAGUUAAUACCUAGGGAUAGUGGACGUUACUCGCAGAAUAAGCACCGGCUAACUCUGUGCCAGCCGCCGCCGUAA